Long non-coding RNA from Amphiprion ocellaris (clown anemonefish), 418 nucleotides. NCBI's taxonomy places the organism in Eukaryota, Metazoa, Chordata, Actinopteri, Pomacentridae. The record is from Ensembl.
CCAGUCACCUGUUUGCAAUUCCACCUCCCAGCAUAUAAGCCAGCUCUGUCAUUCACUCCCUGCUCCACCGUGGACGCGCACAUCCUGCGUCGACUCGUGACCACCAGAGCUUCUUGGACACGACGCUGCCCUCGUACCCCUGCCGGUUCCUGUUUGGGUUUCCUACCUACCCCUUCAGCUGAGUGUCUUCCCGUGACCAUCUGCUACAAAGCAUUACCGGGUAACGAAUACACCUGAUGAAGAUCAGAAAUAUUCAAGCAGAAACCUUCAGCUUCCACGAAGGUGGAAAUCAUUCUGCCAUGAAGACCUAACAACCUUCAAAGACAAUUUGAAAAUGGGUGACACGGACCUUCCUGGAGGAUGUUGCACAAGGAGUUUUGUCAUUGUUGCCACAUUCUGGUCUCGACUCGACUCCAUU